This 490-nucleotide ribosomal RNA is filed under the name uncultured bacterium. Its description in RNAcentral is "partial 16S ribosomal RNA". It matches the Rfam family "Bacterial small subunit ribosomal RNA", at positions 30 to 507 of the family's 1533-position model. The record is from RNAcentral.
AUUGAACGCUGGCGGCAGGCCUAACACAUGCAAGUCGAACGGUAACAGGAAGAAGCUUGCUUCUUUGCUGACGAGUGGCGGACGGGUGAGUAAUGUCUGGGAAACUGCCUGAUGGAGGGGGAUAACUACUGGAAACGGUAGCUAAUACCGCAUAACGUCGCAAGACCAAAGAGGGGGACCUUCGGGCCUCUUGCCAUCGGAUGUGCCCAGAUGGGAUUAACUAGUAGGUGGGGUAACGGCUCACCUAGGCGACGAUCCCUAGCUGGUCUGAGAGGAUGACCAGCCACACUGGAACUGAGACACGGUCCAGACUCCUACGGGAGGCAGCAGUGGGGAAUAUUGCACAAUGGGCGCAAGCCUGAUGCAGCCAUGCCGCGUGUAUGAAGAAGGCCUUCGGGUUGUAAAGUACUUUCAGCGGGGAGGAAGGGAGUAAAGUUAAUACCUUUACUCAUUGACGUUACCCGCAGAAGAAGCACCGGCUAACUCCGUG